UUAGAGAGUGCUUCGGGCGAGACCUCGGUCUAAGUCCAUUGGAACAUGGUGUCAUAGAGGGUGAGAAUCCCGUAUGCGACCGUGGCUCGAGCCCAUGUGAAGCCUCUUCGACGAGUCGAGUUGUUUGGGAAUGCAGCUCAAAAUGGGUGGUAAAUUUCAUCUAAAGCUAAAUACUGGCUGGAGACCGAUAGCGCACAAGUAGAGUGAUCGAAAGAUGAAAAGCACUUUGGAAAGAGAGUCAAACAGUACGUGAAAUUGUUGAAAGGGAAGCGCUUGCAACCAGACCUGCCCGUAGGCGAUCAGCCGCUGUUCUCAGCGGUGUACUCGCUCUGCGAUCAGGCCAGCAUCGGUUUCGGCGGUCGGAUAAAGGCCUUGGGAAUGUAGCUUCCCUUCGGGGGAGUCUUAUAGCCCUCGGUGCAAUGCGGCCAGCCGGGACCGAGGACCGCGCUCCGGCUAGGAUGCUGGCGUAAUGGUUGUAAGCGACCCGUCUUGAAACACGGACCAAGGAGUCUAACAUCUAUGCGAGUGUUUGGGUGUCAAACCCAUACGCGGAAUGAAAGUGAACGGAGGUGAGAACCCUCAAGGGCGCAUCAUCGACCGAUCCAGAUGUCUUCGGAUGGAUUUGAGUAUGAGCAUAGCUGUUGGGACCCGAAAGAUGGUGAACUAUGCCUGAAUAGGGUGAAGCCAGAGGAAACUCUGGUGGAGGCUCGCAGCGGUUCUGACGUGCAAAUCGAUCGUCAAAUUUGGGUAUAGGGGCGAAAGACUAAUC
This 769-nucleotide ribosomal RNA is filed under the name Xanthoparmelia pedregalensis. RNAcentral's name for it is "partial large subunit ribosomal RNA". It matches the Rfam family "Eukaryotic large subunit ribosomal RNA", at positions 151 to 936 of the family's 3401-position model. The record is from RNAcentral. Lineage: Eukaryota; Fungi; Ascomycota; Lecanoromycetes; Lecanorales; Parmeliaceae.